CCUUCGGGGUACUCGAGCGGCGAACGGGUGAGUAACACGUGAGCAACCUGCCCCAGGCUUUGGGAUAACCCCGGGAAACCGGGGCUAAUACCGGAUAUGACCUUGCACCGCAGGUGUUUGGUGGAAAGUUUUUCGGCUUGGGAUGGGCUCGCGGCCUAUCAGCUUGUUGGUGGGGUGAUGGCCUACCAAGGCGACGACGGGUAGCCGGCCUGAGAGGGCGACCGGCCACACUGGGACUGAGACACGGCCCAGACUCCUACGGGAGGCAGCAGUGGGGAAUAUUGCACAAUGGGCGGAAGCCUGAUGCAGCGACGCCGCGUGAGGGAUGACGGCCUUCGGGUUGUAAACCUCUUUCAGCAGGGACGAAGCGUAAGUGACGGUACCUGCAGAAGAAGCGCCGGCCAACUACGUGCCAGCAGCCGCGGUAAGACGUAGGGCGCGAGCGUUGUCCGGAUUUAUUGGGCGUAAAGAGCUCGUAGGCGGCUUGUCGCGUCGACCGUGAAAACC
This 507-nucleotide ribosomal RNA is filed under the name Micromonospora sp. Its description in RNAcentral is "bacterial SSU rRNA". It matches the Rfam family "Bacterial small subunit ribosomal RNA", at positions 77 to 602 of the family's 1533-position model. The record is from RNAcentral. Lineage: Bacteria; Bacillati; Actinomycetota; Actinomycetes; Micromonosporales; Micromonosporaceae.